This 305-nucleotide ribosomal RNA is filed under the name uncultured bacterium. RNAcentral describes it as "bacterial SSU rRNA". It matches the Rfam family "Bacterial small subunit ribosomal RNA", at positions 330 to 630 of the family's 1533-position model. The record is from RNAcentral.
UUCGGCCUAUGGGGGGCAGCAGUGGGGAAUUUUGGACAAUGGGCGCAAGCCUGAUCCAGCUAUUCCGCGUGUGGGAUGAAGGCCCUCGGGUUGUAAACCACUUUUGUAGAGAACGAAAAGACACCUUCGAAUAAAGGGUGUUGCUGACGGUACUCUAAGAAUAAGCACCGGCUAACUACGUGCCAGCAGCCGCGGUAAUACGUAGGGUGCGAGCGUUAAUCGGAAUUACUGGGCGUAAAGGGUGCGCAGGCGGUUGAGGAAGACAGAUGUGAGAUCCCCGAGCUUAACUCGGGAAUGGCAUAUGG